GACGAACGCUGGCGGCGUGCCUAAUACAUGCAAGUCGAGCGAGCUGAAUUCAAAGAUUCCUUCGGGAUGAUUUGUUGGACGCUAGCGGCGGAUGGGUGAGUAACACGUGGGCAAUCUGCCCUAAAGACUGGGAUACCACUUGGAAACAGGUGCUAAUACCGGAUAACAACAUGAAUCGCAUGAUUCAAGUUUGAAAGGCGGCUUUUAGCCGUCACUUUAGGAUGAGCCCGCGGCGCAUUAGCUAGUUGGUGGGGUAAAGGCCUACCAAGGCAAUGAUGCGUAGCCGAGUUGAGAGACUGAUCGGCCACAUUGGGACUGAGACACGGCCCAAACUCCUACGGGAGGCAGCAGUAGGGAAUCUUCCACAAUGGACGCAAGUCUGAUGGAGCAACGCCGCGUGAGUGAAGAAGGUUUUCGGAUCGUAAAGCUCUGUUGUUGGUGAAGAAGGAUAGGGGCAGUAACUGGUCUUUAUUUGACGGUAAUCAACCAGAAAGUCACGGCUAACUACGUGCCAGCCGCCGCCGUAA
This 527-nucleotide ribosomal RNA is filed under the name uncultured bacterium. Its description in RNAcentral is "partial 16S ribosomal RNA". It matches the Rfam family "Bacterial small subunit ribosomal RNA", at positions 28 to 523 of the family's 1533-position model. The record is from RNAcentral.